GAUGAAGAACGCAGCGAAAUGCGAUAAGUAAUGUGAAUUGCAGAAUUCAGUGAAUCAUCGAAUCUUUGAACGCACAUUGCGCCCCUUGGUAUUCCGAGGGGCAUGCCUGUUCGAGCGUCAUUAUAACCCCUCAAGCUCAGCUUGGUGUUGGGGCCUGCUGCACUGGCAGCCCUUAAAAUCAGUGGCGGCGCCAUCUGGCUCUAAGCGUAGUAAUUCUUCUCGCUAUGGAGUCCUGGUGGAUGCUUGCCAUCAACCCCCAAUUUUUCUAUGGUUGACCUCGGAGCAGGUAGGGAUACCCGCUGAACUUAAGCAUAUCAAUAAGCGGAGGA
This 329-nucleotide unclassified non-coding RNA is filed under the name soil metagenome. Its description in RNAcentral is "partial contains 5.8S ribosomal RNA, internal transcribed spacer 2, and large subunit ribosomal RNA". The stretch from base 1 to 120 matches the Rfam family "5.8S ribosomal RNA", at positions 35 to 154 of the family's 154-position model. The record is from RNAcentral.